Molecule: ribosomal RNA, 619 nt
Filed under: uncultured bacterium
Lineage: Bacteria
Description: bacterial SSU rRNA
Rfam family: Bacterial small subunit ribosomal RNA
Source: RNAcentral
CCUACGGGAGGCAGCAGUGGGGAAUUUUGGACAAUGGGCGCAAGCCUGAUCCAGCAAUGCCGCGUGAGUGAAGAAGGCCUUCGGGUUGUAAAGCUCUUUUGUCAGGGAAGAAACGGUGGGAGCUAAUAUCUCCCGCUAAUGACGGUACCUGAAGAAUAAGCACCGGCUAACUACGUGCCAGCAGCCGCGGUAAUACGUAGGGUGCAAGCGUUAAUCGGAAUUACUGGGCGUAAAGCGUGCGCAGGCGGUUUUGUAAGUCUGUCGUGAAAGCCCCGGGCUCAACCUGGGAAUUGCGAUGGAGACUGCAAGGCUUGAAUCUGGCAGAGGGGGGUAGAAUUCCACGUGUAGCAGUGAAAUGCGUAGAGAUGUGGAGGAACACCGAUGGCGAAGGCAGCCCCCUGGGUCAAGAUUGACGCUCAUGCACGAAAGCGUGGGGAGCAAACAGGAUUAGAUACCCUGGUAGUCCACGCCCUAAACGAUGUCUACUAGUUGUCGGGUUUUAAUUAACUUGGUAACGCAGCUAACGCGUGAAGUAGACCGCCUGGGGAGUACGGUCGCAAGAUUAAAACNCAAAGGAAUUGACGGCNGAGAGNGACGACGACGACGACGAGGGAGGAGG